UACGUAGGAGACAAGCGUUGUCCGGAAUUACUGGGUGUAAAGCGCGUGUAGGCGGUAAGCCAAGUCUGCUGUGAAAUCGCCCGGCUCAACUGGGCGCGGUCGGUGGAAACUGGUCAACUGGAGGACGGUAGAGGCAGGUGGAAUUCCGGGUGUAGCGGUGGAAUGCGUAGAGAUCCGGAAGAACACCGGUGGCGAAGGCGGCCUGCUGGGCUAUGGAUGACACUGAGGCGCGACAGCGUGGGGAGCAAACAGG
This 253-nucleotide ribosomal RNA is filed under the name uncultured bacterium. Its description in RNAcentral is "partial 16S ribosomal RNA". It matches the Rfam family "Bacterial small subunit ribosomal RNA", at positions 524 to 776 of the family's 1533-position model. The record is from RNAcentral.